RNAcentral lists this long non-coding RNA (353 nucleotides) under Hordeum vulgare. RNAcentral's name for it is "long non-coding RNA (HVUL_LNC016627)". The record is from RNAcentral. Lineage: Eukaryota; Viridiplantae; Streptophyta; Magnoliopsida; Poales; Poaceae.
UUCCAUCAGUGCUGGCUUCCAUGAAUAUCACCUUCCAUGAAGUGAAUCAACUCUACAAAAUAAAAUAAGAAAGUUAGAAGAAGAAGAAUAAUAAAACUAGUAGAAGAAUAAAACUAGAAGAAGAAGAAGAAAACUAGAAGAAGAAGAAGAAGGAGGAGGAGGAGGAGAAUGAGAAGAAGGAGGAGAAGGAUAAGAAUGAGGAGAAGGAUAAGGAGGAGGGGACUAGAAGAAGAAGGAUAAGAAGAAGGUGAAGAUGAUUACUUAUGCUAACCAAGGUUCUUGUGCUAUUUUUGACCUAACUAAGCUAAUUAUGUCCUAAAUGAAACAAAUAAGCUAAUUAUGUCAUUUUGGAG